GUGCUUGCUUCAGUAGCACAUAUACUAAAAUUGCAAAAAUACAGAACAGAUUAGCAUGGCUCCUGUACAAGGAAGAAAUGUAAAUUCCAUAUUUUUAUAAAAUUAGU
Molecule: small nuclear RNA, 107 nt
Filed under: Castor canadensis (American beaver)
Lineage: Eukaryota; Metazoa; Chordata; Mammalia; Rodentia; Castoridae
Source: RNAcentral